Molecule: long non-coding RNA, 1245 nt
Filed under: Capsella grandiflora
Lineage: Eukaryota; Viridiplantae; Streptophyta; Magnoliopsida; Brassicales; Brassicaceae
Description: long non-coding RNA (CGRA_LNC001519)
Source: RNAcentral
AGAUUGUAGCUUGUCUUUGCAGCUCUGAAUUAUCUCCUCAUAUCUCAUCCCUACCCUAGCAGAAGCAUCUCACAUCUCUGACCAAACAGAGAAAAUAAAAUUCAAAAUCAGUCACAAAAUCAAAUUCAAAAGAACAAUGAAACCUAUACUUCUUUGUUAUAUCUAACAUUAAAUCGCAUAACAACAUAACCUAAUGAAAAUACUUGAGAACAAUUAAGAUCCAACCUAUUGUAAUAACUUAAUCACAUUUAAGCUCAUGUGAUCACUAACCGGAUUCAAUCUCUGGGCUUGUUUGACUUUUCUAUAGCAAACCAUUUCAUACUUCUUGCUCAAAUCGCCAGUCCUCGCAUAUAACACAUAACAAAAAGUCAGAUUCAUAAGACAAAAUCGAAUCAUGUAACAUUUCAAACCAAAACAUCUCUACUAUACCUAACUAUCAACCAAAUACUAUUUAUUCAUGAAUACAAUAAGGAUCCACCUUCAUAAUUAUCGAAAAUUUGAACCACACCAAAGAAAAACGUUUCCUAGCAACCAUCGGAUUUAAUCAACCUUAGUUUAUCAAAAAAUCAUACCUUACAAUACAUACACACACUCAAAUCGUUGCUUAAUUACCUUAAUUAACGCCUUAACAACGAAUAUCCCAUUUCCCCCAAAUCACGAAACCCUAAUUUCCCAAAUAGCAAGAACCCUAAUUUGUUAAAACUUAAAAUCAGUUCAAUUCUAACAAUCAGAACCAAAUACAUACCUUGUACUGCCGAAUAGUACUCCCAAGACUCUGAUUUCGAACAACCGAAGCCGAUUUCGAAUCGAUUUUGUAUACUUCAGCCGAUUUCGAUUUCCUUUGCUCGUCGAUUAGGUCAAUUUCAGCCGCCGCGGAGAAAGGGAAUCAGUCGUCUUCAUCAUCUACCGGAAACGAUGGCCGGCGAUGACUCAUUCCGGCUUCAUCGUCGGAUUACGGAAGAAUCGAAGAAAUCGCUCUUCGUUUCUCUUUUUCGCGAACAGAGAGAGAGAGAGAGAGAGAGAAAGAAAGAAGAAAGAAAAAUGAAGAAAAGGAAAAAAAAUGAUUUAUAUAUUUAUCAUCAAAGCCAAUCGAUGCUUGCCACGUAGACACCUCUUCCACCUUCAUUUUGAUCUUAUAUAAUAUACGGAUCUUACCAUUUUAAUUGUUUUUUGAUUUAAAUUUAAUCCUCAAUUUACCUAAGAAUCACCUAAGAUUAGCCUAAUAACCCAGCAUUGAUGAUGGUC